GUGCUCAUAUCGGCAGCACACAUACUAAAAUUGGAAUGAUACAGAGAAGAUUAGCAUGGCCCCUGCACAAGGAUGACAUGCAAAUUCAUGAAUCAUUCCAUAUUUUG
Molecule: small nuclear RNA, 107 nt
Filed under: Echinops telfairi (small Madagascar hedgehog)
Lineage: Eukaryota; Metazoa; Chordata; Mammalia; Afrosoricida; Tenrecidae
Source: RNAcentral